UACGAAGGGGGCUAGCGUUGCUCGGAAUCACUGGGCGUAAAGCGCACGUAGGCGGAUUGUUAAGUCCGGGGUGAAAUCCUGGAGCUCAACUCCAGAACUGCCUUUGAUACUGGCGAUCUCGAGUCCGGGAGAGGUGAGUGGAACUGCGAGUGUAGAGGUGAAAUUCGUAGAUAUUCGCAAGAACACCAGUGGCGAAGGCGGCUCACUGGCCCGGUACUGACGCUGAGGUGCGAAAGCGUGGGGAGCAAACAGG
Molecule: ribosomal RNA, 253 nt
Filed under: uncultured bacterium
Lineage: Bacteria
Description: partial 16S ribosomal RNA
Rfam family: Bacterial small subunit ribosomal RNA
Source: RNAcentral